RNAcentral lists this ribosomal RNA (782 nucleotides) under Acinetobacter lwoffii. RNAcentral's name for it is "bacterial SSU rRNA". It matches the Rfam family "Bacterial small subunit ribosomal RNA", at positions 114 to 891 of the family's 1533-position model. The record is from RNAcentral. Lineage: Bacteria; Pseudomonadati; Pseudomonadota; Gammaproteobacteria; Moraxellales; Moraxellaceae.
UGCUUAGGAAUCUGCCUAUUAGUGGGGGACAACAUCUCGAAAGGGAUGCUAAUACCGCAUACGUCCUACGGGAGAAAGCAGGGGACCUUCGGGCCUUGCGCUAAUAGAUGAGCCUAAGUCGGAUUAGCUAGUUGGUGGGGUAAAGGCCUACCAAGGCGACGAUCUGUAGCGGGUCUGAGAGGAUGAUCCGCCACACUGGGACUGAGACACGGCCCAGACUCCUACGGGAGGCAGCAGUGGGGAAUAUUGGACAAUGGGGGGAACCCUGAUCCAGCCAUGCCGCGUGUGUGAAGAAGGCCUUUUGGUUGUAAAGCACUUUAAGCGAGGAGGAGGCUACCGAGAUUAAUACUCUUGGAUAGUGGACGUUACUCGCAGAAUAAGCACCGGCUAACUCUGUGCCAGCAGCCGCGGUAAUACAGAGGGUGCAAGCGUUAAUCGGAUUUACUGGGCGUAAAGCGCGCGUAGGUGGCCAAUUAAGUCAAAUGUGAAAUCCCCGAGCUUAACUUGGGAAUUGCAUUCGAUACUGGUUGGCUAGAGUAUGGGAGAGGAUGGUAGAAUUCCAGGUGUAGCGGUGAAAUGCGUAGAGAUCUGGAGGAAUACCGAUGGCGAAGGCAGCCAUCUGGCCUAAUACUGACACUGAGGUGCGAAAGCAUGGGGAGCAAACAGGAUUAGAUACCCUGGUAGUCCAUGCCGUAAACGAUGUCUACUAGCCGUUGGGGCCUUUGAGGCUUUAGUGGCGCAGCUAACGCGAUAAGUAGACCGCCUGGGGAGUACGGUCGCAA